RNAcentral lists this long non-coding RNA (7099 nucleotides) under Daucus carota (carrot). RNAcentral describes it as "long non-coding RNA (DCAR_LNC000399)". The record is from RNAcentral. Lineage: Eukaryota; Viridiplantae; Streptophyta; Magnoliopsida; Apiales; Apiaceae.
CCCCUAGACACAGCUCUUUAUGCUUUUAUCGGAUCUUCUUCAGAAGUUAAAGUUUUAUUUUAUGGUAUAUUGCUAUGUAAACAUGUGCAUGUGGUUGCUUUUGUCUUUUAUUGUUAUCGUUGAAAGUUAGUAGAGUUUUGGUAUAGUUAGUAGAGUUCUAAGCAAGGUGCUAAUAAGAUGUGCCAUUUUCUUGGAGAAAUCGAUGUUUGUGUUCUUGUGCUGUGCAUCUACACGUACAAGUCAUCAGCAUGCACUACAAGGAAAACAGCAUCAGACAAGCGUUUUUGCCCGUUGUCUGACACCUCGAAAAACCGUGGUCUAUCGAGGCGCCGAUACGCAUAUCAGACAACGGGUCGAACGUUGUCUGAGUGUGGGCAACACGAUGGUUCACUUUAACUAAAACGUUGUGCAACACCCAGAAACAACAACGGGAUUAAUAAAAGGAAAUGUUGUUGUAAACGAUUCAUAACAAUAGUCAUUUUCUAAAUUUGUGUUGUUAAAUAAGACUAUCCACAACUGUUUUUGUAGUUAGCUAGACUUGUUGGCAAGAGGAUCAUACAACGAAAUUUGGAGUAGAGAUGAUCGUUGUUUACUCUCUAGUACAACGGUUUUAGAGCACAAGAUCACUUGUGCAAGGAUCCUUCUAACAAUAUUUCAGCUUUUGAAACAAUUGUGUGAAAGCUCUUUUACAAUGGUUUUUCUUGCACAAAAGGUCGUCGUAUAUAGAUAUAGACAACGGGUUUAGUUUUUUUGUUAACUUGUUUGUGUGCCUCUUUCACAACAAUUUUAUUUAUAAAAAUAUAUUGUAUGUAGACAUUGAGACAACAGUUAAUUUUUUAAUCUUGCCAGUUUGUUGUCUUUAGCAUAUUUGGACAAGUGUUUCUAUUUCAUUACUUUUGUAAAUAAUAUGUUUAGACAAUGGUUUUAUCACAAGGAGUGAUUGUGCAAGUUUUAUCAGACAAUGCUCUUUAAGACCGUGAACAUUGUAUAAUGUUAUUUAUAACAACUGGCAUGUAUAUUUUCCAUUAGCUAAAAGUAUAAAAGACAAUGGUUUUACACAACCCAAUUAAACUAAUAUAGAUAAUUUAAUUAAGAAGCAAACAAUUAGUAAGCUAAAUUUCUCCAAGGAAUACUAUUAAGACAAAUGUAUAAUAAAAUGUUUUGACAUUACAAUGAAUACUUAUUUUUGUGACAUUGUUGAAAGCCAAGUUGACAACACCACUGCAUGAAAAAAAGUGAAUCAUAUGAAGCCUCUCAACAUCCCUUGACCUGGAAAAAAGAGAAAAAAUUAGAGAAAUGAUGGAGUAAUGCUACAAUUAAUCUACCACUCAAGUGUUUCACUUAGGCAUAUAACUUAUAAGAGUGAGUUGAAGUAAGACUUACUAUAUUUGUUAUAAUAUAUAUAAGAUAUAUAUGACCCGUUGUUACAGUACGUAUAAGAUAUAAAAUAGAAUCUGAUAUGCAUGUAGACUCGAAUAACAUAAUAAUACACAGUUACUCUAAUUAAAUCACAUUAUCUCUUUAAAUAUGCAUAGACAAAAAUAAUUGCCCUAGAAAUUUUGUCUUUAAAAGAUGAAUUACAACAAGAUUCUCACAGGUCUUUAGAAGCCACUAAUGAGCACCAAACCGGACUUAAUCUUCUGUCAUGUCUGAUGUUGUUAGCAUCUAACAAAGCCUGCAGAGAAACAUUUGAAUUUUUCUAGAAGUAUUUGCCUUUUUUGGACUCAAACUUAACAACUUCUGUCUUUCACAAUCAGGAGGGUGUAAAUCAGUCCCAUUCUUUUUAUCUCUGGUUUUCCUUUUAGUUCUAAAAGAAAGUUAUUUAGUCUUCACAACAUUUGUAGGUUCUGACUUGGAUGCAGAUUCUUGUAAGGUAGACAUUGAGAAUUUACACCUAUUUGCAACUUCUACCAGAAAGUUCAGAGACUUCCAUUAAAUCAACAUGAGAAUUCAAAAGUCAUCUUAAAACUAUUUUUUAUGUGUGAUAACAUCUUCUGCCCUUUAUACAUUCACAUCCCAUGCAUACCUUCACACCCAAACAUCAUAAUAUCCUUGACAUGGUCACAAUUUCAAUACAGAGCAUUAACAAUUAUAAUUAUGCUUGAAUUGAAAGUUAAGGAAAUUAUAUCCAUUCAUGUUAGUUCCAAGUACCAAAAACAAAAAUAUAUCACACAACAAAUUUCACAAAGCCGAUCACAGUUUUAAUACAAUGGAAAAAAAUCAUACAGCAAACACAAAUUCAACUCAAACCCAUCAAAAAAUACACACCCCCUCCAUCUUACACACAUACAUGAAACUAAACAAAAACAAAUUACCUAAUAGGCCGUCUAUCAAAAUGAGCCCAAAAUUUAUCAUCAAAAUCAGCUUCUUCGGCCACUUUAUUCUCUGAAUCUUUGAGUUUCCACUUUAGGCUCGAAUUGAAGCAAUUAGCUUGUUGCAGACAAAAUCUACAAAAGAAAAUCGAACAUGAGAAACAGUAGAAAGCCUUGGUAAUUGAAAAGGCUAAACAAAAGAUGUUAAUUAUGCAUAAUUAUACAUCCUGCAUCUACAAAACAUCCAUUCCCAAAGAAACCCAUAGCAAGCUUAAAUUACUCCCAGAACAAAAAUACAAAACAAAACUAUACAAAAAAAAUCAAGAGAGAGAUAGAGAGAGAGAAUUGAAGAUACAAAACUCCAUGGCCCAAAACUAAAAUUAAAUUAGUAAAAUCAUCUCUCUCCUCAUCAUAAUAUAAUUGGUUGUUAAACUGAGCAGCAUGGUCAACGCCUCCAUCGGAAACUUAUAUGGUCCGCCGGGUCACUGCCAAUGGCAACAGAUCUGGGAGUUUUGUCGAAAAUCAAAUAGAGAGGGGGAGGGAGGGAGGGAGGGAGAGGGGCGAAUAUAGAAAUCAGGGGAGAGAGGGAGGGAUAUGCUCUGUGACGAGAGGAAGAGAAAGAUGUAGAACAAGAGAGAUGCUCAUCUGAAUCUCUGCCUUACAAAUCUAACAGGGGGAAGUGAAAAUUUGGGUUAAUAGAUAAAGGGGGGAAAUGAAAAUUUGGGUUAAGAGAUAAGGGGGGAAGUGAAAACGUUUGUUGAGGGAUGAAAUUGACUGAUACGGGAGUUAGAAAAACUAUGAAUAUAAUAUACAUAACAAAAUUAAUGUACUGUAAUAUCCAGUGUAGUUGAAUUCUUAAACAUGAUUUUUUUUUUAUAUUUAUCUAGUUGAUUACAAAAAUAUCAUAUUAAAUAAUUUUUAAAAAUAUUAAUAUUUUAUUAUGUGUAAAAUUUAUUUCUAAAAUACAAAAUUAUCUUAUAAAAUUUUCUUUUAAAAAAAUAUUUCUUUCUUAAGAGUUAAAAAUUCUCGUUUCCUCGAUCAAUUUCGAUUUUCGUACUCUUUAACUUAGAAAAAUAUUUUAUAUUACCUAUAUAUGCAAAUAUACAUUGUUCAUUUGUAAUAAAAAGAUAUCACAUAAAAUAAGAAAAUAAUUAUUUUAGCAUGUGAGUAAUUUAUUAGUAUGUGAAUAAUCAAUUUUUUGACAAUCCAACCGAAUUCUAAUACCAACUAAUCUAAGUAAUUAAUGAUGUGAAAAUAUAAUUAUAAAACAAGAAGACAAUCUUGUAUAAUUUAUUUAAGAAAAAUCCAGUAAAACUAUUGUAUAACAAAUUUUCUUUUUAAGAGUUAAAAUUUUUCGUUUACUUGAUCAGUUCUUGUAUUUGUAAUUAUUAAUUAGUAAUUAUUUUUGGAUUAAUAUUGUGUUAAUUAUUAAUUAUUAAUUAUUUUUGGGAUUUGACGUGAGUAUUAGUAAGUGUUUUAUGUUCACGAGUUAGGAAGUAUUGGAUAGAAAUUUUGUUAUUUACAAGAUUUGCUCUGAAUUAGUUUAUAAUUUGUUUUAAAUGAUCUGUCCCUAUGGAUGUUAAUAACUAACAAUAUUAGUCAUGCACAAAAAAAUUUAGAUUUUUCUAUGUUUAUUUUGUAUGACAAAACUAGUCAAUCAUAAGUUUUGUCUUAUUAUAAAAAGGUAAUUUUUGUCUCAUAGUAUCUAACAGACAACGGUAUUUAUACGCACGUGUGUUGUACGAGUUAAAAUAACACAACUGUUAUCGACAUUAUACCGUUGUAACAUAAUUUAUUGUCUAAAAUAGGCUCAAACAACGUUUCUGGAAAAACCCGUUAUAUGUAAAUAGUGUAGACAACGGUUUCUGGGAGGGAAACCGUUGUAUAACAAAUUUUCAUUUUUAAGCGUUAAAUAUUCACAUUUCCGUGAUCAAUUUUAUUUUUUGUUACCCUUUGUCUUAACAAAUAUAUUUAUAUUAUGCAUAUAUGCAGAUAUCUAUUGUUCAUUUGUACUAUGAAGAUAAUUUUGUAGUUCGGACGUGAGUAUUAGUAUGUGUUUUAUGUUUACAAUUUAGAUUGUACUAAAUAGAAUGUUUGUUAUGUAUACAAUUAACUCUAUAUUAAUUUAUAAAUUUUUGUUUUGAUGAUCUAACCGUACGGAUGUCGAGAACUAACAAUAUUAGUCAUGUGUAAAAAAUUUUAAAAUUAUUUAUGUUUAUUUUGUAUGUUUUUUAACAAUACUUGUCAAUCGUAAAUUUUGUCUUAUUAUAAAAAGGUAAUUUUUGUCAUGUAGUGUCUUAACACACAACAGUUUUUAUACGCAACUCUGUUGUAUCAUUGACGAAGAUAAUUUUGUAGUUCGGACGUGAGUAUUAGUAUGUGUUUUAUGUUUACAAUUUAGAUUGUACUAAAUAGAAUGUUUGUUAUGUAUACAAUUAACUCUAUAUUAAUUUAUAAAUUUUUGUUUUGAUGAUCUAACCGUACGGAUGUCGAGAACUAACAAUAUUAGUCAUGUGUAAAAAAUUUUAAAAUUAUUUAUGUUUAUUUGUAUGUUUUUUAACAAUACUUGUCAAUCGUAAAUUUUGUCUUAUUAUAAAAAGGUAAUUUUUGUCAUGUAGUGUCUUAACACACAACAGUUUUUAUACGCAACUCUGUUGUAUCAUUGAUAAUGACACAACUGUUAUGGAACUUAACUGUUGUAAGAGAAUCUAUUGUCUAAAAUAGGCUCAAACAACGCUUCGGGGAAAACCCGUUGUAUAAAAGUUGUGUAGACAACGGUUUAUAGGAAGAAAAUCGUUGUAUAAAAGUUGUGUAGACAACGGUUUAUAGGAAGAAAAUCGUUGUAUAAUAAAUUCUCAUUAAAGAGUUAAAAAUUCGCAUUUUCUUGAUCAAUUCUUGUUUUUGAACUGUUUGUCUUAACUAAUAUAUUUAUAUUAUGCAUAUACGCAAAUAUUUAUUGUUCAUUUGUACUAUGAAAAUAAUUUUGUAGUUCAGACAUGAGUAUUAGUAUGUGUUUUAUGUUUGCAAUUGAGAAAGUACUGAAUAGAAUCUUUGUUAUGUAUACAAUUAGCUCUGUAUUAUUUUAUAAAUAUUUUUUUCGAUGAUCUGACCGUACGGAUGUCGAGAACUAACAAUAUUAGUCAUGCAUCAAAAAAAUCAAAAUAAUUUAUGUUUAUUUUGUAUGUUUUUUUAACAAUACUAGUAAAUCGUAAAUUUUGUCUUAUUAUAAAAUGGUAUUUUUUGUCCUAUAGUGUUCAACAGACAAUGGUUUUUAUACGCACCUAUGUUGUAUAAUUGAAAAUGACACAACUGUUACAGAAGUUAUACCGUUGUAAGAGAAUCAAUUGUCUAAAUUCAGCUCAAACAAUGCUUCACGAAAAACCCGUUGUAUAAAAGUAGUGUAGACAAUGAUUUAUGGGAAGGAAACCGUUGUAUAAUAAAUUUUCAUUUUUAUGAGUUAAAAGUUCGCAUUUCCUUGACCAAUUAUUCAUCUAAUGCAAGAAAAACCUAUGACUAUCAAGAAAUUGAUUAUUUUGUUAUAACUUCGGUUAGUUAUUUUGAAUAUUUGUACUCUCUUAUGUACAUUUAUUUUCUUAAAAUUCAUUCGGUCAGACAACAUUUUAUUAGUUAGUAGAAGCUUGUUUAUAAGGUCAUCAUACAAUGCUAACAAAAACACUUGUAUGUUAGCUUCCCAGUCACACAACACUAUAUGGAACCCUUGUAUGAACUUUUCGUAAACAACACAACAAAUAAAACACUUGUCUCAUUAUAACAACGGUUUCUUCGAAUAUUGUCUGAGGUUUCUUUACACAAUAGCACCAAAAACAGUUGUCUAUCGUGCAUCAUUACACAAUACCACAGUUAAGACACCGUUGUCUGAUUGAAUUUACUAGACAAUAUUUUUUUAACCAUUGUAGGUCGUGGUGUUAAACAAUAGUUUUUCGAGGAUGAAAAUAAACCGUUGUAUCUCGUUUUCGGCCAACGCUUUUUUCAGCGUCCGUUGUCUGAUCAGUGUUGUCUGAUUCAAGUUUUCUUGUAGUGAUGUAAUCUCAGCAGUGAUCUUGCAAAGAUUAAUUUACUCAUCAUCUCAGAAAAAUUGUGCAGAGAAUUAGAACCUGAAGAGGAGUCAUGGGAAGUUCUCUUCGCAGCAUCUCAGAAUCCUUAAAUGGAUCUAGCUUCUCUAUACACUCAAGUUCUUCUUUAGAAAAGGGAAUUGAAGCUUGAGGCCAAGGGAUCCAUUCAAAAUAAAGUGGUCAUAGUCAAGAAUGUAAGCAGCAACUUCUCUAAAUCCUUUUUCCUGACCCUUACAGAAUGCUUCCAACCUGGCUGUCCAAGCACUUUUUCCACAAGGUCUUUAGGGUUAUUUGGUGCAAAAGGUUCUUCAUCAGUUGCCUUUACUAUAGCCCACUAAGAACAAGAAUUGAAAAGCUUGGGAAGAAGAAUAUGUGAGAUGGUUAGAAUCUCUGCACGAUGCAGAUGCCGCCAGUACAGCGAGCAUAGGUACAGGGAGCACGGAUAUAGAAAGCACCACUACAGGGACCGCCAGUACAGGGAGCAUGGGUACAGGGAGCAAAAGGAUGACUAUGACAAUCAUCGGGCUUACAAGGAUGAUUGUGAUCGGACAAAUCGGCAGGAUCUAAGGGCAAAACGCGUGUUGUGGAGGAGGAUCACAGAUCUCGUUCAAGGGAUUCUUACCAACAAGGGUUGCCAAAGUGACGCAAUAGGUGUAUGAGAUUAGCCGCUUUACCUUGACAGGUACCAACAAGGUGCUGGUUUAUCAUGGAUCC